RNAcentral lists this unclassified non-coding RNA (3526 nucleotides) under Daphnia magna. Its description in RNAcentral is "centrosomal protein of 97 kDa, transcript variant X1". Lineage: Eukaryota; Metazoa; Arthropoda; Branchiopoda; Diplostraca; Daphniidae. The record is from RNAcentral.
AGUUGAAAAUUUUAGAAAAAUAGCACAAUUUAGCUAGGAUAGUUUUCAAGAUUUAAAGUUUGAUUCGUAUAUGAAAUUAUUUAUUCAUUAAUCUGGAUGACAGCAGCAGUGGGACAUUCCAUCCAAACAACAAUACGAUGGCGUCUGCCGUUGAUAGUCCAGAGGUGCUGAACCUGACACGCCAGCACUUGAAAAAGGUUGAACCUGCGCCAGGAAACCUCCAUUACUCUAGCCUGCUACUGGAUCACAACGACAUUGCUAGGUUGGAAAAUGUUGAGACUUAUUGCAGCCUCAUCAAGUUUUCAGCAUCUCACAAUCAGUUAGUCAGAAUGUAUGGUGUCGCUAGGCUGUACAGCCUAAGAGUGCUGAAUCUAUCGCACAACAGCAUUGUCUCGAUAGAAGGUUUGAAGGACAUGAAGUACCUCUCCCACCUGAACCUUGCGGGUAACAACAUCAAAAGCAUAGAGCACCUCAACGCCAACUUGCUGCUGGAGCACCUCGACCUGUCUGACAAUGCCAUUACGACGAUACCUGACCUGUCCAGCAUGAAGCUUCUUCGUCGGCUACACUUGCAAUCGAAUCGCAUCAAGACACUGCAGUUUUGCGACAAAUUUCUACCAACCAGCCUAACGACCCUGACGUUGGCGGAAAAUUGCUUGACGGACGUGAAUGAAGUGUCCCGGCUGGCCCACCUAGUCUACUUAGAAGUGUUUAGUAUGGCCGGCAAUCCGUGCUGCUCAUCUGGCGAUGUUUACCGGCCGUUCCUGCUCAAUUGGCUACCGGGCUUGAAAAUCCUGGACGAAACGCUGGUCAGCGCCAAGGAGAGUUUGGUGGCCGAAUGGCUCUUUUCACUGGGCAGAGGCCGCCAGUUCAAAAUUGGCCAGCACGACGAGUUAAUGGCUUAUUUGAUCUCAAUCCGGCCAGAAAUCGGAGGCUUAACGAACGGAUCUCAGUCGGACUUGGAAGGCAGCUCCGGCAAACUCGAUAAAAUACUCAAUUUGGCCCGUCAGAAUCAUUGCGAUUUACAGCUGGCCGUCUCUGCCACUUCUUCGCCAACGCCCACGCGACGGUCGGUCCCGUCCCCGGCGGUCAAGAAAACGGUCCCACUUCGAAAACAAACUUCUCCUCCCAAAGACAAUACAUCGGCGAAAGCCAACAGGGCGGCCAAGUCGACUUAUGAAGACGACUUGAGCUUAGAGCCUAUGCCGGCCUUAAUGUACACAAGUUUGGACCCUUCGUCAACGAACUUGGCCCUCGAAAGAAGUUGCAGCGUCACUUUAAUGCCCGGCAAUCGUCCCGCGCGUCCCGUUUCUGCCCAGCAUUUCGGCACGGAGGACGAAGAAGGGCUGGAACUGGCCGGACAGCCGAGUCUGCGCAGAGCGGCCUCGGCUUCCCAGCAAACACGUAAGCCGGUGUACAACCGGUCGACGUCGCACCAGCCUCGCAAUACCAAGCCCGUCUCUAAAUUACCGACGAGAAAGAGCAUGGCGGAAAGAAGCGGCCCAAUGUCGGUUCCAUCACACGUGACGUCCGCCCCGAAAUUGUCUGAAGCUCAGGCCGCCGUGGCCAUCCAGAAAGUGUGGCGAGGAUAUCAAACGCGCAACUUAAACCCAGUCGUCGUCCGUCUGAAGGAUCACGUUCGAUUGAGCCGGACGGAGGAGCACACGUCUGAGCUCAUUGUAGACGUACUCGCCAUCGUUAGCCCCAACAUCGCAGAUCGGAGACCCACCCGCUUCUCUGACGGGCUGAACACAGAAUUGAUCGACGAGCCGGCCCUCAAUGAUAAUCGGCAUUUUACCAUUCGUAUAAAACGGAAACAGAGCAACGUGAUAGUCUUUCAAAUGGAAGGCGUAAUCAGCUGAUAGUUUGGACUUUGCGCGAGAUGGCAAUAACGUUCCGUUAGUGUGAACAGCAACGAUCCAGCGCAUCGGGGGAGGAUAGAGAGUGGACAAAACUAUGGCCACUUGAUCGGCAAGUUGUUCAGUCGACGUUACAUUUUUCGCUGUUUCGAUUUAAUUGGCGCUUGAGGCAAUCACUGACCAGCUGGAUAUUACGAGCCGUUAUUUUCACGUUUCGUUCUCUGACGGCUGUUGUUCUACGAUUCCAUUCCCUGAUUGAACGUGAAAAAAACGUUGGAAUUAAUUUCUAAAUAGUUUGAUGGUUUUAAGUGAAUCUUACACUCGAGACAUUUGUCCUAAACGAGAGAAAUGAUCGACAGCCAUCGUUCCAUUCGUAAUCAAAUCUUUGUACCGGUCGAAUUUAUGCCACAUCUCGGUGACGUUACACUAUUCAAUCAAUACAAUAAACAAUUAAGAAUAAAAUUAAAUGAUUAAGAAUUGGAUUUAGUUUUCAAAAUGUCAAACACCUUCUUCUUUUCUUGAAUGUUACCCGAUAAAUCAGAUCCAGUUACUGGCUGACCCAGCAAUCCUUCCAUCAGUAACACAAUCUCGCCAUUGAGAAGCCGGGCACGUUCAAGCCACAACAGUUUCUGCAACUCUGAAAUUCCGUUGGCCGAGACAUGUUGCACAACGGCCACAUCAAACAAAGCCCUCGAGAUGGCGUCUUCUGCUUUCUUGUAUUGGCUUCCCUCAUCGGGUCGGAUGAGAUCUUCCAAUCGCUUGACACCGUCCAGCAGAUCUUCCUUCCGUCGUCGGUUGCGGUAAGAUCCAGUCUUCGAUCGCAUCCAUGAUGGAGAAUGAUCCAUCCAACAAGGCUAAUGUCAUCUCCACCCGAUGAACAAUAUCAGACCAGCCACUGCCUUCAGAAUCAUUUGCGCCUUCCGGUUGUUCGUCCAUCUGGUUUUGGCAACUAGUGCAGCACAAGACUAGCAACAAUAGUGUCGUCAAUGUUUUCGCCAUUUUCGUUCAUUUGUUUUACACGUCCUGAUUAUUGAAAUGCAAAUCAGUCUUUUAAUUUACGUAUGCCGUAAAUCAAUUAAAAUUAUACCUCAUUUAAGUAUCCGAAUGCAGCACAUGUCAACACUGUGUCUAUUGCAAGUGAUGCACUGCGAGGAUCAGAUGAGCAACUGCCGUCAGAAAACACGAAAUAAAAGAUGAUUGGAUUCUGGAUUCUCGCAUGUCUCGCCAUCUGCGCACUUGGCGGGCCGAUGGAAAGUCACAUGACCCAUCAUCACGGCGGGUUGGAUUCGGUAGAGAUCCAUUCGAAGCAUCAACUGUCCAGCGAAAAUGAAGGAUCGCCUUCACCUCAACAUGAAGACGUCGGAGGACAUUCGUUGGAAUCUGGCGAAACGUCUGAAUCGGACGAAUCGAAUGAAACUCUGUCUGCAUCUCCCCCGUCAUCGAGGAGUAAGAGACAGGCACCUUCUUACAUCCGAUCUUAUCCGAAUCCGAAAUCGUAUUUGAGAAAACAGCAACGCACCCCACGUGACUACUGCGACUAUUUUGAUGACAGUGACGGUGGCUACGCGUAUUGCUGUUAUUAUUGAAAAAGCAGUUGUUGUUUUCAAAACGAAUCAAUCAAAUUCACAUUUUGUCUAGUUAUGAAUAAAGAGUUUCGUUUACCCGUG